UUGUAACUGCUCCUUGGUUGACAUUUUUCUUGAACGAUACCACUGUUUAAGUGCCUUGUCCCUGCUAGACUAAAACAAUAUAUAUAAGGAACAUAAUGAGAUUUGUUAUAUCCAAAAACAUGCAUAGAUAAGUAAAAUACAAGCUUUCAUGUGCUUAUAAUAUCCAAAAACAUGCAUAGAUGAAUCACAGGUUUACAUUACAGUUCAGUGAGUUUUGAUAUAUUUGCUUAAUUUAUUUAUACAUAUUCUGACAUUUAUUUAUAAAGUUUAACUUGAAAUCAUAGAUUAUGUUCAACACACAAAAGCCGUAUCUAAAUCGAAUUUCUAAUCACUCUCAUAACUAUGGGAAGACCCUUCCUCAUUAAAAUAAACUUGACUCUCCCUAUAGAUAGAUUGUGUACACUUGGGUAGAGGACAAAAAUAAGCUUAAGUUCGACCCCCUAAUAUCAUAAGUGGAAUUAUGUUGUAAGCAGCAUUGCCAACAUACUCAGACUCAAGCCAUGAAACAGUUCCAUUUCAGCAUAUGUGAUGGGCGGUAGACCGGAUUUCACACCUUGAAUUGAAACACUCAAACAAAUGCUUGAAACAAAAGACAUUAUAUACAAGCCAUAGGAUACAUUAAUAGGUUAUUAAUACAAGUAAAUAACCAAAUAAUAAACAUGAAGAUGUAGUAAAACAUGGGAUUUUUCUACUUAAGUUAUAUAAGAGGGAAUAUUUGAUCAUCCAAAAUGAAGUAUUCAAAUUUUUUUGAUAGUUACUACCAUAAUCUCAUUCAUUUCCUCUAGAAAAGAAAUCUAAAUUCAUUAUAGCCUUUGGCGAGACAUGAAUGACAUUAUUUGUUCUACUCUGCUCCUUUGACUAUUCAAAGUCAUUCAGAGUUUUGUUAUAUUUGAGAGACAUAUAAGUUUUCUUUUUCAGUAAGAAAAAAGAAGUGGGCAUGAACACAAGAUUGAGAUUUUGAUGUGCAAUUCCUUUAGGCACUUAUAAAAGAGAGCAGAAGGCACAAUAAAAAAAUUCUCCAUUUUUUUGGUAAAAUCAUUUUAGAAUCAGUUAUAAAUCAGUAAGUAAAGUAAAGCAAAUCUUUUUGUUCUAUCAUUUUCAAAAUGCAAUAUGCAUUACAACUGAUGGACAAUGCUCUCCUUUUUUAUGAAAUUACUUUCUAGACUAUGGCAUAGAAUACAAGUUAUCUAUACAUUUUUAUGGUUUAGCUUUACUCAUCUUUUGGCAGAUUCAGGGAGGUUCUAAACUUGGAACAAACAUGUAGAGAAAAUAGAGAAGCAUCUACUCUGCUCAAGAUGAAUUCAUCUCUAGCUACAAUAACCUAGCUGCUACUGCCUUUCAACAACUUCUAAAUUUUCUGUUAAUUAAAUCAAUUUAUUAACAAAUGAUAUGCUGGGUCUUUCCAAGAACACUUUAAUGAUAUUGAGAAAGGCUCACUUUAAUACAAGGGCACCAGUACAGAUGAUAUGCUGAAUCUUUCCAGGAACAAGCAUAGAUUUAAACUUAGCAGGAAGACCAGCAGCCCUAUGCGGGAUGUGAAGAUCGCCAAAUGCUAAUACCAGCACCAUCUUCCUCUAAACCCGAUCAACUACUCAAAAAUUAAAUAUACGAUCGACAAUCUGAGAUACCAAGACAUCCCGUCAAGGUUGCACACUGAAUUUUCUUUAAGAAUUUUCCAUUUUGUCUAGCAAUAAUUUGUUUAAGUAUUAAUCACAGCCUUAAAUAUCUUACGCUCCUUUUCUGUAGGAGACAAGCAGUCACCUGGGAAAUUCUAGAAGACAAUUUGACUCGGGGUAUUCAGACAAGCAGUCACAAAAAUACAUUAUUCAAACAAGAAGGAAGCAGUCUAUUACAGAUUUACUUAUACGAAUUUUGUAAAUUAAAAAAUUCAAAUAAACUGAAGGAAAAACAAUCACACUCAAAUCUUCCAAGCAAAUUGCAAUCAUGACAAGUUGUAGUGGAAGAAGAGCUAACGUUGUCUAAGGGAAAAAGAGUGCAACGUGUGCUUUAAGAUCCAAAGCUUCGUGCCGAUCCUUGUCGAUAGCCUGCAAGUGAUAGUCGAAAAAAUAGAAAGAAUUGGAAUGGGGUCGUACCUUCAUUCAAAU
Molecule: long non-coding RNA, 2105 nt
Filed under: Nicotiana tabacum (common tobacco)
Lineage: Eukaryota; Viridiplantae; Streptophyta; Magnoliopsida; Solanales; Solanaceae
Description: long non-coding RNA (NTAB_LNC003158)
Source: RNAcentral